ACUCAAAGGAAUAGACGGGGGCCCGCACAAGCGGUGGAGCAUGUGGUUUAAUUCGACGCAACGCGAAAAACCUUACCAGGGCUUGACAUCCUCUGAAUCUGUUAGAAAUAGCGGAGUGCCUUUCGGGGAACAGAGAGACAGGUGGUGCAUGGUUGUCGUCAGCUCGUGUCGUGAGAUGUUGGGUUAAGUCCCGCAACGAGCGCAACCCCUGUAUUUAGUUGCUAACGGUUAAAGCCGAGUACUCUAGAUAGACUGCCGGUGAUAAACCGGAGGAAGGUGGGGAUGACGUCAAAUCAUCAUGCCCCUUAUGUUCUGGGCGACACACGUGCUACAAUGGGCGGUACAGACGGAAGCGAAGCCGUGAGGCGGAGCAAAUCCGAGAAAGCCGUUCUCAGUUCGGAUUGCAGGCUGCAACUCGCCUGCAUGAAGUUGGAAUCGCUAGUAAUCGCGAAUCAGCAUGUCGCGGUGAAUACGUUCCCGGGCCUUGUACACACCGCCCGU
Molecule: ribosomal RNA, 501 nt
Filed under: uncultured bacterium
Lineage: Bacteria
Description: bacterial SSU rRNA
Rfam family: Bacterial small subunit ribosomal RNA
Source: RNAcentral